This 1094-nucleotide long non-coding RNA is filed under the name Nicotiana tabacum (common tobacco). RNAcentral's name for it is "long non-coding RNA (NTAB_LNC018518)". Lineage: Eukaryota; Viridiplantae; Streptophyta; Magnoliopsida; Solanales; Solanaceae. The record is from RNAcentral.
UCAUAUCUGCUCUUUCUACUAUGUAUGUUUUGCUUGCCAAGCCACAAAUAACUAUUCUUCAAUGCUACUGAUAUACCUACUAUUUAUGCUCAGAUGUUUCUUAUGACAAUGUGAUAAAAAACUACUCUAUGUGACUUAAAUAUUAAUGUUUGCCUUUAUUUCCUUUUUUUAAAAAAUAAUUGUAAUGGACUUAUAGUCAAAAGACGAGUAUAGACGAAAAGGAAAAAAUUGAUCAAUGCAUUCACUCAAUUGACAUAAUAAAUAAUAGACGCAAGUAGCUUGGAAUAAAGAAGGGUGAAAUUAGGGGUUGAUCUACCUUUUCAGCCCGAGUUAAGAGAAAGGAAUGGUCUCACUCAAGAGGAAUGCGCCUUUAUUAAACAAAGAAGCUGAGCAAUUGACAUUGAAUAAGAGUGAGUGAUCAAAUUGUACUAUAUUAGGAGAGGGCUUUCCUCUUAUCUCUCAAAUUGUAUGGUUUUUGCGUAAUUAAAACUCACAUGGAUCUUGACCAUUUUGUUAAUAUUUUUCUACCUCUAUAGUGAUUACUGCAUCUAAACCAGCUCUCCCUUGCCUUUGUGCUCUAUUAUGUUAGAAAAAAUUCUUAAUUCUUGACUCUUGCAGUAAGGGAAGCUGAAUAUUUUCAUUGAAAUAUGCAAAUGAGGAUAGCAAUGACAUGACAUACUGCCUUGAGCACUAGCUGAACUCAUCGCUAUUGUUACCAUAAAGACUUGACUUUCUCCUCACUGUACAACACAAAAACUCUGCAACCAUCCAGGAAUGGGAAUAUCCAACUUUUCUAUUGAGGCUUUAAGCGCGCAACUACCCCAUUAAAUUUUCUAUUGUUUGUUGAAGAGGAGGAAAAUAUCAUUCAAGAUUAAAUUUCUGCGGCAAAAGUGAAGUGCCAAUUUCAGUCAACCGUUACUGCCAAUGUUCUUGCUAUUGUAAGUUGAUAGUUUCUACCUUUGUUGGAGUGAUGAAACAACAAGAUAUAUUUCAGCUUCCUGUACAAACUUUUCAUGGAACCUAGACUGUAGUUAUAAACUUUUUUGGGUUGAAUGUAGCUACGUUAAUUGAGCUCUUUUAAAGAUGGCAAUAAG